Monodelphis domestica (gray short-tailed opossum) is the source of this 99-nucleotide non-coding RNA. The record is from Rfam. NCBI's taxonomy places the organism in Eukaryota, Metazoa, Chordata, Mammalia, Didelphimorphia, Didelphidae.
UUAUGAACGCUAUUUUAUUUGCAAUGAAGAGAGAAAUUUCACCUCGAAAUGCUGCUUUUACAAAAGCAGAAUGAUUAAAAGAGAGAAAAAGGAAAAUGC